RNAcentral lists this small RNA (31 nucleotides) under Bombyx mori (domestic silkworm). Its description in RNAcentral is "ovarian small RNA-29283". Lineage: Eukaryota; Metazoa; Arthropoda; Insecta; Lepidoptera; Bombycidae. The record is from RNAcentral.
UCGUCUCGGAGACACACCGUGAGCGGUGCUA